This 72-nucleotide small RNA is filed under the name Arabidopsis thaliana (thale cress). RNAcentral's name for it is "ATSL165020". The record is from RNAcentral. Lineage: Eukaryota; Viridiplantae; Streptophyta; Magnoliopsida; Brassicales; Brassicaceae.
UGUUAAAAAUAAAUGACUCUAUAACUUUUAGACCGUGAGGCCAAACUUGGCAUGUGAUACCUUUUCGGAAAG